CGGGGGAUUCCUGCAGGCUGUAUUCCCAUCGGACGCUCUUCUGGUCCUCGGAGAGGACGAGGCGAGGGUGGGCCGUCUCCGGGUCCAGAGUCACAUUUAUGUGUUCCUCAAAACAUCUUCUUGCUUUUGCCUUGUAGUGCUCGAGCUCUGCAGUGAGUUCAUCAAUUCUUCUCUCUCGUUUUUCAACUUCUGUUGAGAGUUCAUCAAUUCUGGCAUCAUGUUCCUCCCUCUCCAGAUCACUCUCCUCAACUUCCCG
RNAcentral lists this long non-coding RNA (256 nucleotides) under Gallus gallus (chicken). The record is from RNAcentral. Lineage: Eukaryota; Metazoa; Chordata; Aves; Galliformes; Phasianidae.